UACAGAGGGUGCAAGCGUUAAUCGGAUUUACUGGGCGUAAAGCGUGCGCAGGCGGUUUUGUAAGACAGAUGUGAAAUCCCCGGGCUCAACCUGGGAACUGCCUUUGUGACUGCAAGGCUAGAGUACGGCAGAGGGGGGUGGAAUUCCGCGUGUAGCAGUGAAAUGCGUAGAUAUGCGGAGGAACACCGAUGGCGAAGGCAACCCCCUGGGCCUGUACUGACGCUCAUGCACGAAAGCGUGGGGAGCAAACAGG
This 253-nucleotide ribosomal RNA is filed under the name uncultured beta proteobacterium. RNAcentral describes it as "partial 16S ribosomal RNA". It matches the Rfam family "Bacterial small subunit ribosomal RNA", at positions 524 to 776 of the family's 1533-position model. The record is from RNAcentral. Lineage: Bacteria; Pseudomonadati; Pseudomonadota; Betaproteobacteria.